This 286-nucleotide unclassified non-coding RNA is filed under the name Melitaea cinxia (Glanville fritillary). Its description in RNAcentral is "misc RNA ENSMCXG00005009258.1". Lineage: Eukaryota; Metazoa; Arthropoda; Insecta; Lepidoptera; Nymphalidae. The record is from RNAcentral.
CGGAACUAUUUGCUGUUAAUGUUCGCAGCCUCGCAUCAAGCUUUCUCAUCGCAUGGAUGUGGUUCAGCAAUUUCCUCCUACUUCGUUACUUUGGAACUAUCGCCAUAUCCCUCGGUCUCCACGCCACGUACUACAUCUGCGCCUGCAUCACACUCAUGGGCGCCGGGUACAUUUACUUUACCAUACCGGAGACUAAGGGCAAGAGUCAGAACCAAAUCACCGAAGCUUUAGAGGGUCCUUGGAUUUUGUUUAAAAAGAAGAGGAAAAAUGAACGAUGACAUUUAUC